AGGGUUCGAUCUGGCUCAGGAUGAACGCUGGCGGCGUGCCUAACACAUGCAAGUCGAACGGAGUAAUUAAGCGGAAGUUUCGGAUGGAAGCUUAGCUACUAGUGGCGGACGGGUGAGUAACGCGUGGGCAACCUGCCCGUGUACCCGGGGGAUAACACUUAGAAAUAGGUGCUAAUACCGCAUAAGCGCACGGUCUCGCAUGAGACAGUGUGAAAAACUCCGGUGGUACAGGAUGGGACCCGCGUCUGAUUAGCUAGUUGGUGGGGUAGAGGCCUACCAAGGCGACGAUCAGUAGCCGGCCUGAGAGGGUGACCGGCCACAUUGGGACUGAGACACGGCCCAAACUCCUACGGGAGGCAGCAGUGGGGAAUAUUGCACAAUGGGGGAAACCCUGAUGCAGCGACGCCGCGUGAGUGAAGAAGUAUUUCGGUAUGUAAAGCUCUAUCAGCAGGGAAGAAAAUGACGGUACCUGGCUAAGAAGCCCCGGCUAACUACGUGCCAGCCGCCGC
RNAcentral lists this ribosomal RNA (509 nucleotides) under uncultured bacterium. RNAcentral's name for it is "bacterial SSU rRNA". It matches the Rfam family "Bacterial small subunit ribosomal RNA", at positions 8 to 518 of the family's 1533-position model. The record is from RNAcentral.